UUUCCUACGGGAGGCAGCAGUGGGGAAUUUUGGACAAUGGGGGCAACCCUGAUCCAGCCAUACCGCGUGAGUGAAGAAGGCCUUCGGGUUGUAAAGCUCUUUCGGCAGGAAAGAAAUCGCCAUCUCUAAUACGGGUGGUGGAUGACGGUACCUGAAGAAGAAGCACCGGCUAACUACGUGCCAGCAGCCGCGGUAAUACGUAGGGUGCGAGCGUUAAUCGGAAUUACUGGGCGUAAAGCGUGCGCAGGCGGCUUUUUAAGCCAGAUGUGAAAUCCCCGGGCUUAACCUGGGAACUGCAUUUGGAACUGGAAGGCUAGAGUGCGGCAGAGGGGGGUAGAAUUCCACGUGUAGCAGUGAAAUGCGUAGAUAUGUGGAGGAACACCGA
Molecule: ribosomal RNA, 385 nt
Filed under: uncultured Thiobacillus sp.
Lineage: Bacteria; Pseudomonadati; Pseudomonadota; Betaproteobacteria; Nitrosomonadales; Thiobacillaceae
Description: bacterial SSU rRNA
Rfam family: Bacterial small subunit ribosomal RNA
Source: RNAcentral